UAAUACCGGAUAAGUCUUUACGGAGAAAGCUUUAUGCACCAUUGGAUGAGCCUGCACUUGAUUAGUUUGUUGGUGGGGUAAUGGCCCACCAAGACUGUGAUCAAUAGCUGAUUUGAGAGGAUGAUCACCCACAUUGGGACUGAGACACGGCCCAAACUCCUACGGGAGGCAGCAGUGGGGAAUCUUGCACAAUGGAGGAAACUCUGAUGCAGCGAUGCCGCGUGAGUGAAGAAGGCCUUUGGGUUGUAAAGCUCUUUCGUCGGGGAAGAAAAUGACUGUACCCGAAUAAGAAGGUCCGGCUAACUUCGUGCCAGCAGCCGCGGUAAUACGAAGGGACCUAGCGUAGUUCGGAAUUACUGGGCUUAAAGAGUUCGUAGGUGGUUGAAAAAGUUGGCGGUGAAAUCCCAGAGCUUAACUCUGGAACUGCCAUCAAAACUUUUCAGCUAGAGUAUGAUAGAGGAAAGCAGAAUUUCUAGUGUAGAGGUGAAAUUCGUAGAUAUUAGAAAGAAUACCAAUUGCGAAGGCAGCUUUCUGGAUCAUUACUGACACUGAGGAACGAAAGCAUGGGUAGCGAAGAGGAUUAGAUACCCUCGUAGUCCAUGCCGUAAACGAUGUGUGUUAGACGUUGGAAAUUUAUUUUCCAGUGUCGCAGCGAAAGCGAUAAC
Molecule: ribosomal RNA, 665 nt
Filed under: uncultured Pelagibacterales bacterium
Lineage: Bacteria; Pseudomonadati; Pseudomonadota; Alphaproteobacteria; Candidatus Pelagibacterales
Description: bacterial SSU rRNA
Rfam family: Bacterial small subunit ribosomal RNA
Source: RNAcentral